This 585-nucleotide ribosomal RNA is filed under the name proteobacterium StTD669. RNAcentral's name for it is "bacterial SSU rRNA". It matches the Rfam family "Bacterial small subunit ribosomal RNA", at positions 102 to 683 of the family's 1533-position model. The record is from RNAcentral. Lineage: Bacteria; Pseudomonadati; Pseudomonadota.
ACGGGUGAGUAAUACAUCGGAACGUGCCCAGUAGUGGGGGAUAGCCCGGCGAAAGCCGGAUUAAUACCGCAUACGACCUACGGGUGAAAGCGGGGGAUCGCAAGACCUCGCGCUAUUGGAGCGGCCGAUGUCAGAUUAGCUAGUUGGUGGGGUAAAAGCCCACCAAGGCGACGAUCUGUAGCUGGUCUGAGAGGACGACCAGCCACACUGGGACUGAGACACGGCCCAGACUCCUACGGGAGGCAGCAGUGGGGAAUUUUGGACAAUGGGCGCAAGCCUGAUCCAGCCAUGCCGCGUGCGGGAAGAAGGCCUUCGGGUUGUAAACCGCUUUUGUCAGGGAAGAAACGGCCUGAUCUAAUAAAUCGGGCUAAUGACGGUACCUGAAGAAUAAGCACCGGCUAACUACGUGCCAGCAGCCGCGGUAAUACGUAGGGUGCAAGCGUUAAUCGGAAUUACUGGGCGUAAAGCGUGCGCAGGCGGCUUUGCAAGACAGAUGUGAAAUCCCCGGGCUUAACCUGGGAACUGCAUUUGUGACUGCAUGGCUAGAGUGCGGCAGAGGGGGAUGGAAUUCCGCGUGUAGCAGUG